This 46-nucleotide non-coding RNA is filed under the name Schistosoma mattheei. Lineage: Eukaryota; Metazoa; Platyhelminthes; Trematoda; Strigeidida; Schistosomatidae. The record is from RNAcentral.
GCACUGCUAAGGUGUCCCAUAAUAGGACGAAACAGCUGUCCAGUGC